CAGCAGUGGGGGAAUAUUGCACAAUGGGCGCAAGCCUGAUGCAGCCAUGCCGCGUGUAUGAGAAGGCCUUCGGGUUGUAAGUACUUUCAGCAGUGAGGAAGGUGGAUAUGUUAAUAGCAUAUUCAUUUGACGUUAGCUGCAGAAGAAAGCACCGGCUAACUCCGUGCCAGCAGCCGCGGUAAUACGGAGGGUGCGAGCGUUAAUCGGAAUUACUGGGCGUAAAGCGCAUGCAGGUGGUUUGUUAAGUCAGAUGUGAAAGCCCGGGGCGUCAACCUCGGAAUUGCAUUUGAAACUGGCAAACUAGAGUACUGUAGAGGGGGGUAGGAAUUUCUAGGUGUAGCGGUGAAAUGCGUAGAGAUCUGAAGGAAUACCGGUGGCGAAGGCGGCCCCCUCGGACAGAUACUGACACUCAGAUGCGAAAGCGUGGGGAGCAAACAGGAUUAGAUACCCUGGUAG
This 456-nucleotide ribosomal RNA is filed under the name uncultured bacterium. RNAcentral's name for it is "bacterial SSU rRNA". It matches the Rfam family "Bacterial small subunit ribosomal RNA", at positions 349 to 793 of the family's 1533-position model. The record is from RNAcentral.